Molecule: long non-coding RNA, 290 nt
Filed under: Ananas comosus (pineapple)
Lineage: Eukaryota; Viridiplantae; Streptophyta; Magnoliopsida; Poales; Bromeliaceae
Description: long non-coding RNA (ACOM_LNC042232)
Source: RNAcentral
AGCGCGACUACGCGGGAAGAGAUCGGUCCCAUACGGGGAGAGACCGGUUCCCGAACGUUGGAUUUUCGGGGCAGGCUGAGAGACCGGUCCCAGGUCGGGGAGACCGGUCCCUCAGUCCGAAAACUGCCCAGACCCGGGCAGUGCACAGGUUGGAUUUUUGAGGGGCUUAAGUGGAUUUUGUUACUUCAAAGGGCCUUAAGGCCAUUUCCUCUCCCUCUCACCCUCAUUUCUCUCCCUCACAUUCUCUCUACACCCUCUAGAAAGAGAAGAAGAAAGAGAAGAAGAAGAAG